AAUAGAUACCCCGGUAGUCCACCCCGUAAACGUUGGGAACUAGUUGUGGGGCCUUUCCACGGUCUCCGUGACGCAGCUAACGCAUUAAGUUCCCCGCCUGGGGAGUACGGCCGCAAGGCUAAAACUCAAAGGAAUUGACGGGGACCCGCACAAGCGGCGGAGCAUGCGGAUUAAUUCGAUGCAACGCGAAGAACCUUACCAAGGCUUGACAUACACCGGAAAAGGCUGGAAACAGUCUCCCCCUUGUGGUCGGUGUACAGGUGGUGCAUGGUUGUCGUCAGCUCGUGUCGUGAGAUGUUGGGUUAAGUCCCGCAACGAGCGCAACCCUCGUUCUAUGUUGCCAGCACGUUAUGGUGGGAACUCAUGGGAUACUGCCGGGGUCAACUCGGAGGAAGGUGGGGAUGACGUCAAAUCAUCAUGCCCCUUAUGUCUUGGGCUUCACGCAUGCUACAAUGGCCGGUACAAAGGGCGGCGAUACCGUAAGGUGGAGCGAAUCCCAAAAGCCGGUCCCAGUUCGGAUUGAGGUCUGCAACUCGACCUCAUGAAGUCGGAGUCGC
RNAcentral lists this ribosomal RNA (557 nucleotides) under uncultured bacterium. Its description in RNAcentral is "bacterial SSU rRNA". It matches the Rfam family "Bacterial small subunit ribosomal RNA", at positions 777 to 1335 of the family's 1533-position model. The record is from RNAcentral.